This 73-nucleotide transfer RNA is filed under the name Cimex lectularius (bed bug). RNAcentral describes it as "tRNA-Glu". It matches the Rfam family "tRNA". Rfam says of the family: Transfer RNA (tRNA) molecules are approximately 80 nucleotides in length. Their secondary structure includes four short double-helical elements and three loops (D, anti-codon, and T loops). The record is from Rfam by way of RNAcentral. Lineage: Eukaryota; Metazoa; Arthropoda; Insecta; Hemiptera; Cimicidae.
GUCACGAUAGCUCAAGUGGUAGAGCAUCGGCUUUUCAAGCCGAAGAUCGUGGGUUCGAAUCCCUCUCGUGACG